CAGUACUCUGCCAUAAAAUAAGAGUGGUAUUCGAGAUUGAGCUCAAAUAAGCCCUGGAGGCCUAAGUCAGCUACAUGAAGUAGCCCAAAUGCCAAUGAUUGCUUUCCCUAGCCUGUACCUAUGCCUUGUGAGGAGUAGCCUGUCACCAGGGGACACCAUCGUUUCCCUCCAGAAACUGCCACUCCCCAUCAAGAGGCAGAGUCUGUUUCUCCUUCUGAUGAAGCUGGGCAGGACUUUGUGACCACGUUGCCAUGACACUGACAUGUCCCAGGGAGGGGUUGCUCCUUCCACUUUGAUCUGGGGAAAAGGAAGACCUGGAGCAGAGCCACCACCAAUCCAAGAGAGCAAGAAGUAAAUCUUUGUUGUUCUCAAACCAAAUAGGUGUCUAUAUGACAGAAGGAACCCUUGCUGGUGGUUUUGAGUUAAGUUCAGCCAAGAGUGACAGUUGCCCCAGACUCUAAGGCCAUCAUCUGGGAGCUCUCAGAGUGCCCACAAGUGAAGUUUGAUUUGCAAGACUGCUAUGUAAAACUAGCAGAGAGAAGAAUGGGGCUAGAGAUUGAGUGAUCAAUGAUUGGAACAACCAUGCCUACAUAAUGAAGCCUUGAUGGAAACUCUAGACCGAUGGAAGUCUGGGGAGCUUCUGGAUUGAUGAAUACUUCAAUGUGCUUGGAGGGUGGUACAGACAGAAAAGGCACAGAAACCCUACACCAUGCCCACCCCUGACCUUGCUCUCUGUAUCCCUUCCAUUUGACUGUUUCUCAGUUGUAUCCUUUAUAUUAAAAUUGCGAUAUUAAGUAUAGUA
This is a long non-coding RNA of Canis lupus familiaris (dog), 802 nucleotides long. RefSeq lists it as uncharacterized. NCBI's taxonomy places the organism in Eukaryota, Metazoa, Chordata, Mammalia, Carnivora, Canidae. The record is from RefSeq and is a predicted model, not a curated record. The transcript has 5 exons.